Molecule: long non-coding RNA, 5826 nt
Filed under: Aquilegia coerulea
Lineage: Eukaryota; Viridiplantae; Streptophyta; Magnoliopsida; Ranunculales; Ranunculaceae
Description: long non-coding RNA (ACOE_LNC000167)
Source: RNAcentral
UAUUUCACCUGAUAUAACCUAGACUUAAAAAGUCUGAUAUGAUCUGUUUUAAGAGGCUUGUUAGAUAGACAAAAGAACAUUUACCUCGUACUGAGGGAGUUUAUGCAAAACACAAUUUAUUGAUCUAGGUACAUAUCGUUUUAUAAUCAAAAUCUGGAAAUUUUCAAUAUUGGAUCUUUUUAGGAGAAAUCGACUUUUUAACAGGUACAUACCAAUAUUACAACAUAGGGAAUUAAAAUCUCAUUUGAGAAAACUAUAGAUAACUUCAGACAGAGCUGCAAAACUAUGCGAACCAAUCAAAUGAGUUGCCUCUCAUUCAAAAUUUAUCAUUUUAUCCUCUUUCUUCUUGCCACUCUGCAAGACAUUCACAAAUUCACCAAUUUUCUUGUCUGAGCUUCCACCUUCACUAAUGGCCUCCUUAGCUAACUCUCUCCAUUUCCUUAUCUUCUUAGCUUAUCUUAUUGCACUAGAACCACCACCCAAUAUAUUCAAAACAUUACCAACCACAACAGAAAAGUGCAGACAUAUACAACAGCUUUGAAAUAGCCAGUAUACAUUCAACUUGAUGGAUCCAGUUUUCUAUUAUCUUCCGUAUGCCUUUGCAACAAUGAGUAUACAUUUCACAUUACUCUAAGAUUACAAUUAUUCUUCAACAUAUGUAUUCAAUAGCUAAAAAGUUCUGUUCCAGAGAGUACCAAGGAUUUCUACCUGUCUCAUUUAUGCUAAAAUCUUACUUACGAAUUCCUUAUUUCCUUAUCUUCUUAGCUUUCUAUCUACAAUUUUAAUUGGUUAAAAUUUUAGUUAAUUUCUGUUGUUGUUCAACCAAACAUAACACCAUAUGUAUGAAUCAAGAGACAAUUUAACCUCAAAUUUUCCAAUUUUUAUUUUGUCAGAUAGAAUAUCAAUAGUAGAUUUACUAAUACCAAUUCAAAUAAUCUAAAAAAAAAAAAAAACACUAAUCUGAUUACGAAUAAAGAAAACACCGAACUGAUGACAUAUGAUGAUCUGAGAUGAACAGAAAACCCUAGAAGAAACACUAAAAAUAAUAAAAAGUUCAUUGAGAAGAGAGAGAGAGAAGCAAAAGAAAGAAGGAAGAAAUGGCAUUGAGAUCAGCUGUUGUUAGUGUUGGAAAAGGAGGAGGAAGAAACCCAAAGAUUAUUCAUUCAAUUCCCAAACUUGAUAAAAGCAGAUUCCAUGCUUCUAGUUCUGCUGCUCCAUCUCUUUAUAGUUAUAGAACUUCACAUUUCUAUCAACUUCAAGGUAAAUUUUCUCAAAUAAUGUGUAUUUUUUUUAAAAAUGUUUUGAUUAAAUAAUUUAUAAGAUUAUUAAGUCACUGAAAUGAGUGACUAACAAUUAACAAAUCUGUUUUUAUUUGUAGUAUUUCAUUCUUUGGUUAUUAAUAAGUUGAGGAUUGCAAAGAAAAGUUACUCUUUGGUUAUUUGUACUAUGGUCAAUUUCAACAAUGUUCCUACCAAACAAGAUUCAAAUAUUGCAAAACUUUGUGGUCUUCAGAUGCUAACAAACAAUUUUACUUUGUAUGCAUCUUCUUUGGAGGGGAUUUUGGUGGUUGGAACACAUAUCUAGCCUUGAAUAACUCAUCUACAUGUUCAAAAUUCUUACUAUAAAUGUCUGCAAAUCUGUAGGGGAUUUUGGUGAUUAUAUGUAAUUACACAAACUCCCAGCACACAAGUUAUAAGACUGGAUCCACGAAACAAGUUGACCUGCACACAUCCUCGCAAAACUCUAACAUAACCAAUCUGGGAUGCCAGUCUGCAACUAAGACAUGCUCUUUUAUAUUCACUUACUCAAACGUUGCGAUCAUUUUGUCGGUUAGAACUUUUAAAAUGCACCAAAAGCUACCAUCAUCAUUGAUAUUUGAUUUACAUGCCAAUCGAUUUCAUAUACAUCUACAAAUAUUUCUGGUAUUUAGUUCUGAAGGUCUGUUUUAAUCAGUAGGUGUAACAUAUAAGAAUACUUGCGAAACAUUCAAGCAUCAAAUUCGUGCAAUAAAUACUGAGACCAGUGUGGAAACAAAGGCUUCUGUCAAAGAGGAUGAACAUUUGUCUCAGGAUUGGAAGAUUAAAAUGCUUUAUGAUGGUGAAUUCCCACUUUGCUUGAAAGAGGUCCGUUCCAUAUGUUAUGAUUCCUUUUCUGAAUGGUUCAGAUUUUUUUAGUUUGGCCAGUAUAACUCAAAAUGAUUAAGUAAUCUUUUGGAAAUUGGGUAUAGUUAUUCUUGGUGUAAUUAGUUUAACACAGAACACUAGAAAGAUCUCCCUGACUGUUUUCGAAUGUAUUCUUUAUUGUCAGGUUAAUAUGCUUAAAGAGAGGAAUAAGAGCUACAGAACUAUCAAGUUUGUUGAUAUUAGCUCUGAUGACUACUCUCCAGAGGAGAAUCAAGGUCUUGACUAUGAAACUGUAUGUGAUGAAGCACCUUGGAUAUUUUUCCUAACAGUAUAUUAUUAUAUUACACGUUUGUUCACAUUUUCAGAUUUCCAUGACUUGCUAAAAAAGUAACUAAAUGCACAUAGGGCAUAUGUCUCCUAUAACUCCUUUAUUUAAAAUGACUUAUUACUCUGAGGAGACUUCUCCUCCAUUAGGAUUAGUUUGUACCAACUACGAGUGUUUCUAACUUCCAUGUGUUUAAGGAGCCUUAAAGUUUGUGGUUGUCUACAUCAUAUUCCUUAAAGUGAAAAACGAAGUGCUUUUACACAUUCCUUCUCACUCCAUGUGUUUUGAACUUCUAUUAUGUAUAAUGCCUCCUUAAAAUAUUUUUAUUUUUAUAGUGCAAUCAAUAAUUCAAUAUGCACCAAUUCUGACAACGCUCCCAGAUGAAUUUUAACAUCAACAUAAACGACACAAUACCAGAUAAGAUUAUGAUUUAAAUUUUUUGUGGUGAUGUUGAAAUGGGUAAAAUUAAUUUUUGAUUGAUCAUGCCACAACUUUUACUUUAAGAGUAGACAUUGUUCUCAGCAGCGAAAUGUAGGCAAGACUGAUUCCCAGUACUGAUCCAAGGAAAUUGGAGACCUUAGGCAAAACUGUGAUGGAGCCCUUUUUCCUACACAUGUGAUAGUUUAUAAUCCUUUUGAGGAAUAUUUCUACUUGUAAAAAUGAGUUGCGGUAAUAUGGUGCUCUGGUUAGAGCCUUAGAGACCCAGGAUCAAUCCUUCUACCUUUACAAACAUGUAUAACAUAUUUAAAAAUGAGACUCUCAUCCUUGGUGAGGCCUAGGCGUUUGCCUAAGCUGCCUUACGGUUGGUCAGUCCAGCUGAUUUCAUUAGGAGGAAAAGAGAGAGAAAGCAAAUGACAAUGAAGUGCUGGUCACUUAGCAGUAAGAACAAUUUUCUUUGUGGAAUUCCACUUUUACUACUGACAAGCAUUUACUUUUCCCUCUUAUUCUUUAGGCUAUGGGGAGAAUUCAUGCAAUUCAGUCAGAUGGUACUGUGGUCACAGGUGUCGAAGUAUGCCACUCCAAACUGUCGACUUCCCAUCCAUUUGUUUUCAUGCAUAUUACUCUUGCAUUCUUAUUUCACUUUUUCGUUUACGGUUUAUACUCUAUUAAAAGAUGCACAUGUUUGUUAGAAAAAAUCACCACACUCAGUAUUGUUGUAUUGCAAUGAUUGAAUUUAAGAGAAGUUCCUUAAACUAGCUUAUCAUUUUCUUUUCCAUCAAUAAACCAUGGAUUUAGAGAAAGAAAAAAAAAAACACCCAUUUUGUUAAUCUAAUAAGAAUCUUCCCAGUCAUUGCAUUAGCUAUGGCACCAGAUACUUUUAUAUGAGUAAUAGCGUUAAAUGCAUCGGUGAUUUCAAUGAAGCUUCUUUCAUUAGUGGGAGUUGACAGUUAGUGUUCAUGGAUGGGAAUAGUUGUAGGUUGGCUAUUGACCGUGUUCUUUUUUUCUCUAAAGUAAUUUCUUCACAAGAUCCUUGCAUCAAUAAUAAAAAUUCUUCACAAGAUCUUUGAUUGAAUAGACGAUCAAUCAGUGUCAUAAAAGUAUAUUUAGUGAAUGUUGACACAAGGCUUGAACAAUUCAGUGAAAAUUUGUAGGCAUUCCGAAGACUUUAUGAAGAAGUUGGUCUUGGAUGGGUGUGUGCCAUUACCAAAUAUGAACCUGUAAGCUCUCUCUUUUCAUAGAUUAAGGGUUUGCCGUUAAAGAGGCUUACAUUUUUUUUCCAUGAAGGGAAAACGUGGAUACUUUUUGUAUUCUUUUAUUAAUAAGACAGCACCAUGUUUGCAGGUUGCAACUAUAGCUAAUGCAGUAUAUGGUGUUUGGGCUAAAUAUCGUAUGCAAGUUACAGGCAAGUCCAUAUUUAUUUAUCAUAUUCAGACGACUAUAUUCAUAGUCUCCUAUGGAAUAUGUAUAAUCACAUUAGUUAUUUUAGUGUGAGCUUCUCAAUCAAAAAUUUUAAGAAUUUCUCGUUCUUGGGUUUCAAAUUGCAUAUAAGAUAUAAUACACUACUAAGAGUAGUCUGAACUCUUAAGUUCCACCAUAUGUAGUUGCUUUGCAAUUUCAGCAUCAUUAUAUAUUUUGUGGUGCUGAGUUCUUUUUCUGAUGCGAACUGAUUCUCAUGGAUGUAGGCCGGCCGUCUUUGGAAGAAAUCUUUGAGGCACGAAGGAAAAACAGGGUAUGAAUGGAUACCUUCCACCAUCCAAUCUCUUACACAUUAUUAUGAUUAACAUCUCUGGACUUACAUAGCCAACGUGAUUAACAAAACUGUCGCUGUUCACAAAAAAUAUUAUAAAACACAUGGGUUUUUUUUAUUGCACAAUAUAUCUUCUUACAUUGGUUAACAAAACUGUCACACCUCAAAAAAAAAAAAAAAAAAAAAAGAAAAAGAACUUUCUAUUGCACAAAAUAUCUUGUUCAUAAACUUUUUACCUCGAACAGCUAUGGAGACUCAGGAGUACUUGUAUUUACUUAAUUCAGUAUUCUCCAGUUAUCUAAGUAGCAUAUUGUUUGCCAACGUUUUGGUUUUAUGGUUUCACUUACAGGGUGAAGUUUGCAGAGACAAGUUUGCGAAUAUGUGAGCUUUUUAUAGUAUGCAGACCUCUUUCUGUCUUUCAAAUGACACUAUACCUGAGGUGGGACUCAUUGAUAGUUGUUGAGUAUUUGUUUGUAUAGUAUGCAUUAAUUUUUAUUCGGUUUGUGUCACGUAGCUGAUACUGUACUUCACAGAUAUAUCAUUUUGAUUGCACUAUGUAAAUGUAAACAUAAAUGUUCAUACCUCCCUGUACAUAAAUUUGCUUACAGAUAUACUUCAUACUUUGGGUGUGGUGAACUUUAAACUAUAUAUGAUGAUGAUCAUUCUUUUGCUCGUACUCGUAUACAUUACAAUAUAAUCUGGAGCACCUCAUAAGUCGCAGAAUUCAAAUAUUUUCAUCUAAUGUGUUAUUUUCCUUCUCAUUGGCUUGAUCAUAAAAUCCACCACAUCAUUGAUUCAGAUGUGUUCUUUUGCUCGGUACUCGUCAUCUAGAUGUGCAAGUUUGACCCCGUGUGGGUGUCCAGAUCCUAACACAUCAUUCAUUCAGUUGUCUACUUGUCUAUGUUGUACAAAUUUCAUCAUGUGGUUCAGUUUAUUGCGUAUUCGUUGUACUAUUUAUUUACCAAGUUUGAAUUAUCACCAAUCCAAUGAGCUGUCCUUCAUAUUUCACCUGAUAUAACCUAGACUUAAAAAAGUCUGAUAUGAUCUGUUUUAAGAGGCUUGUUAGAUAGUCAAAAGAACAUUUACCACUCGUACUGAGGGAGUUUAUGCAAAACACAGUUUAUUAAUUUAUUGAUCUAGGUACAUAUAAUUUUAUAAUCAAAAUCUGAAAAGUUUCGAUAUUGGCUCUU